ACAGUGGUGGCUCAGUGGUUAGGGUUUUGGGCUGCUGUUCAGAAGGUUGUGAGAUCAAAUCCCAGCUCCACCAAG
Molecule: non-coding RNA, 75 nt
Organism: Pangasius djambal
Lineage: Eukaryota; Metazoa; Chordata; Actinopteri; Siluriformes; Pangasiidae
Source: the annotation of a GenBank genome assembly